This 253-nucleotide ribosomal RNA is filed under the name uncultured bacterium. RNAcentral describes it as "partial 16S ribosomal RNA". It matches the Rfam family "Bacterial small subunit ribosomal RNA", at positions 524 to 776 of the family's 1533-position model. The record is from RNAcentral.
UACGUAGGGAGCGAGCGUUGUCCGGAUUCAUUGGGCGUAAAGAGCUCGUAGGCGGUUUGUCGCGUCUGCCGUGAAAGUCCGGGGCUCAACUCCGGAUCUGCGGUGGGUACGGGCAGACUAGAGUGCAGUAGGGGAGACUGGAAUUCCUGGUGUAGCGGUGGAAUGCGCAGAUAUCAGGAGGAACACCGGUGGCGAAGGCGGGUCUCUGGGCAGUAACUGACGCUGAGGAGCGAAAGCGUGGGGAGCGAACAGG